CAGCCGCCGCGGGAAAACGUAGGUGGCAAGCGUUGUCCGGAAUUAUGGGGCGUAAAGGGCUCGCAGGCGGUUUCUUAAGUCUGAUGUGAAAGCCCCCGGCUCAACCGGGGAGGGUCAUUGGAAACUGGGAAACUUGAGUGCAGAAGAGGAGAGUGGAAUUCCACGUGUAGCGGUGAAAUGCGUAGAGAUGUGGAGGAACACCAGUGGCGAAGGCGACUCUCUGGUCUGUAACUGACGCUGAGGAGCGAAAGCGUGGGGAGCGAACAGGAUUAGAUACCCCUGUAGUCCCUGUCUCUUAUAC
This 301-nucleotide ribosomal RNA is filed under the name uncultured bacterium. Its description in RNAcentral is "partial 16S ribosomal RNA". It matches the Rfam family "Bacterial small subunit ribosomal RNA", at positions 509 to 807 of the family's 1533-position model. The record is from RNAcentral.